RNAcentral lists this long non-coding RNA (1204 nucleotides) under Salvator merianae (Argentine black and white tegu). RNAcentral describes it as "lncRNA (ENSSMRG00000003275.1)". Lineage: Eukaryota; Metazoa; Chordata; Lepidosauria; Squamata; Teiidae. The record is from RNAcentral.
CUGAGAGUCUGACGAGGCGGGAGCUUAAGCGUGUUUAGAACAAAAAAUAGCGCUUCUGGCGGGCAACAAGAGCGUCUUAACCAAUUCAGAAUUCAGUUCGGAAUUUGGAAGGGCGGCCCGCUCUCGGGGCGAUGCCGAGAUUGUGCUGUUUUUAUGAAGUUUGGAAGGGGCAGCCAGGGAGGCAGCGCUGCAAUCUUUCGGAGAUAAAGGGGCUAAGAGAGGGGAAGCGUGCUGGGGGGGGGGGUCGGAAAUUUGAGAGGCUCUUCGCCCUCGUUAGGGAGACUUUGUCCCCCUGCCAAGUGAACGUGGUAGGUUUAUUUCUGUAUUUAUGUGGUUUGAAAAACGCGAUUAUGUAGUGCAACUUUGCGCGGUUAGGACACAUCGCAAGGGGUGGGGAGAAUCCCUCUAGAAAUCUCAGGACGACAACUACACCCUAUCUGGUUUGGCUGCAAAGAUUAUUCGGAGUCCGCCAAUUGCAUAAUUUUUCACCCCUACUGAUGCGGGUUCAGAGCACCCGUGAAGAAACCCUGGAACUAGAAAGACGGCCGGCCGGCCACCGCCCACCCAACGCUCAGAUGUUUUUCCCAACGAAGGAAGNCUUCGCUAGAGAGACCUGGAUCUUUUCAGCAGCGCCGAGAAUUUGGUGGUCUCUUGGUCGAGUCCGUGGAAUGUUGCAAUCGGCAAAUUAACGUGAUAAAGACGAAAUCUCCUUAGAAAUGCUCCUGCCCCCAAGAAAGAGACAACUGGCAUUUUUUUUCGCUCUCUUCUACCGAAAAUUCAUUUCUCUGUCGCCCCAGGACGUUGCUUUAGUAUCUUACAGGAAAUGCAAAGAAGAAAAGUCAGAAAUAUAUGAAGAAAGGCACAUUUAUCCUGGACAAAGGAAAAACAGAACUAAACGAAGAAAGAAACAGAAGAAAACAGUAUGUUCUACUGUGUUCUAUGAGACUUGUUUCAGAUGACACUUGAAGAAUUCUACCUUUAGGCAUGUUCGAUCCCGCUUAGAAAACAGGGAAUUCUGACCCCCUCGCCAGACCGGUUGAUUUGAAGGGUAAAGUUAAGUGUAGACCCAAACAUUCUCUUCUAAUGUGUGCCAGGGGAUACCUGCGAAUACAGCUUGAAACUUCUCUUAUAAAUGGACAUAUUUACCUAUGCUUGCAUGGGUGUAUUAUACAUGCUCUCUGCUUAGGAGAAAGCAAAACUGUGG